This 531-nucleotide long non-coding RNA is filed under the name Parus major (Great Tit). RNAcentral's name for it is "lncRNA (ENSPMJG00000009892.1)". Lineage: Eukaryota; Metazoa; Chordata; Aves; Passeriformes; Paridae. The record is from RNAcentral.
CCACCUGCCAUGGGUGUGAGAUAGCAGAAAAGGAAGAGGUUGAAGAACUUGCAGACAAGACAAAAACCAAGGUUUUACAGAGGAAGGAAAACUGAGAUGUGAAGAAAAGCAGAGUUCAUGUUCAACUGCCUGUGGCAAACAUUACACAAGAAAGAUUUAUUAAAGUGGACAGUAAACUAGGAAGUUGUCCUCAGAAAAGAAAUCCAAAUCACAGUUCAUAGCUUAAACAAAUCUGGUGCUGCCCAUGUUACAUAAACUGUGAGUCUGGACAUACGCAGAGCUUGUGGGAAGGAGCGGCAAAUACCAGACUUGCAUUUCAGAGCUACAAAUCAAAACAGGUAGUGACACACAUCUUUAUGAUGACUGAUUAUUUUAUCCUCACAGACACACAGCAGUAGCAGUAAUUCCAGAAUUUAGCUCUGUGAUGUGCAAAAAAAGGAUUAUCUUCUUGUUUGCUUAGAGCUCACUAUCUGAUAAUUUAAUUUGAUACUUCCUAAUUUCUGAAAUAAAAGAACAAAUGUUUCCUUUUCA